Molecule: ribosomal RNA, 254 nt
Filed under: uncultured bacterium
Lineage: Bacteria
Description: partial 16S ribosomal RNA
Rfam family: Bacterial small subunit ribosomal RNA
Source: RNAcentral
UACGAAGGGGGCUAGCGUUGCUCGGAAUUACUGGGCGUAAAGGGCGCGUAGGCGGCCUGCUAAGUCGGAUGUGAAAUCCCUCGGCUCAACCGAGGAACUGCAUCCGAUACUGGCGGGCUUGAAUCCGGGAGAGGGAUGUGGAAUUCCUGGUGUAGCGGUGGAAUGCGCAGAUAUCAGGAGGAACACCAAUAGCGAAGGCAGCUCGCUGGGACGGUAUUGACGCUAAGGCGCGAAAGCGUGGGGAGCAAACAGGG